Molecule: long non-coding RNA, 953 nt
Filed under: Equus caballus (horse)
Lineage: Eukaryota; Metazoa; Chordata; Mammalia; Perissodactyla; Equidae
Description: lncRNA (ENSECAG00000051648.1)
Source: RNAcentral
CGUUGCUUGGCUGGACCAGCCGGCGAGCCAGGCUCCCGGGCGCCACCUGGUGGCCUUUCUGGUGGCGAGGGGUGCCCGAGGUGCUCACCUCCAGAAUCCAGCCACCACUUUUUGAGGAAGCCCAGGCCACAUGGAGAGGCCACAUGUAGGAGUUCCAGCCCACAGCACCAGCUAAGAUUUCAGCUGCUCCAGCCAGUGUUGACUGCCAGACAAGUGAGUGAAGAAGAUGAUUCCAGCCUUCAGAAUUCCAACUGAGGACCCAGACAUUAAGAAGCAGAGAUAAUGAGGGACUUGCUGGUCCUAAGUGGCGGGCCUCCGGGCCACCAGGAGUUGACGCUCGGAGCCCACGUCCUUGGUGCAGACGCUGACAGGAACUGAGCUGCUGUCCCGUGCCGCCUUGCCCUUCUGUGGUGCUCGCUGCGCUGCAUGGGGACAGAUUUGUUCUUCAGUUCUAAAACAAUCGACAAUUUUGCAAAGAAGAAGAUCUCUCUAUUUUUAAAGAUAUUAUUCCAAUUCGGCAAAAUUUUUCACACGUGAACUAAAAGUUACACUUGAGAAAGACAUCACACCUCGCAGUUCACACUUUGUUUCACCGUUUUAAAUUUUAAACCCAAAGGAAAACUCACCAGGGGCUCCUGGGAGAGGUCAGAACUGAAGAAACUCAAGUUUCUUGUCUGUCUUCACAGCCACUGUCCCCAGAACGUGUAGUUGUACCACAAGGGUGAGGGAUACAAACCGUGUCCAAAGUCAGUUCGGACAACAGUGAACCAUCAGCAAGUGGGCCCGUGCGUGGCGGGGCCCAGCUCCCUAACUGGGAGCAAGCUCUCUGAAUGAGCGUCCAUGUAGAAUGCAAUGCUUAUUAAAGCUUGAGGAAUAACAAUGUGCAAAUUUGGAUUUAUAUAUAUAUACUCUUAAAACUCAACACCAAUUGCAGCAAUUGUCUAAGGAUUAAA